AACGCGAAGAACCUUACCCGGGCUUGAACUACUCGUGGUAGGCCGAUAGAAACAUUGGCCGACCCGCAAGGGAGCGAGCAGAGGUGCUGCAUGGUUGUCGUCAGCUCGUGUCGUGAGAUGUUGGGUUAAGUCCCGCAACGAGCGCAACCCCUAUCUCAUGUUGCUAAUCCCGCAAGGGAUGCACUCUUGAGAAACUGCCUUCGAUAAGAAGGAGGAAGGUGGGGACGACGUCAAAUCCUCAUGGCCCUUAUGUCCGGGGCUACACACGUGCUACAAUGGCCGGUACAACGGGAAGCAAUACCGUAAGGUGGAGCCAAACCCUGAAAGCCGGCCCCAGUUCAGAUUGUGGGCUGCAACCCGCCCACAUGAAGGCGGAAUCGCUAGUAAUCCCUGAUCAGCAGGCAGGGGUGAAUACGUUCCCGGGCCUUGUACACACCGCGUGUCU
RNAcentral lists this ribosomal RNA (445 nucleotides) under uncultured bacterium. Its description in RNAcentral is "bacterial SSU rRNA". It matches the Rfam family "Bacterial small subunit ribosomal RNA", at positions 958 to 1399 of the family's 1533-position model. The record is from RNAcentral.